CCCUUAGAUGUCCUGGGCUGCACGCGCGCUACACUGAUGUGUCCAGUAAGCACCUAACCUCUUCCGAAAGGAACGGGUAACCUUUGCAAAGCACAUCGUGAUGGGGAUAGAUUAUUGCAAUUAUUAGUCUUGAACGAGGAAUUCCUAGUAAGCACAAGUCAUCAGCUUGUGUUGAUUACGUCCCUGCCCUUUGUACACACCGCCCGUCGCUACUACCGAUUGAAUGGUUUAGUGAGAAUUUUGGACUGGAACUCCCUUGCUCAGCAAUGGGCGAGGGGGAGUCCGGGAAGCUAUUCUAACUGUAUCAUUUAGAGGAAGUAAAAGUCGUAACA
This 332-nucleotide ribosomal RNA is filed under the name uncultured eukaryote. RNAcentral describes it as "partial 18S ribosomal RNA". It matches the Rfam family "Eukaryotic small subunit ribosomal RNA", at positions 1470 to 1796 of the family's 1831-position model. The record is from RNAcentral.